This 889-nucleotide ribosomal RNA is filed under the name uncultured bacterium. RNAcentral describes it as "bacterial SSU rRNA". It matches the Rfam family "Bacterial small subunit ribosomal RNA", at positions 8 to 888 of the family's 1533-position model. The record is from RNAcentral.
AGAGUUUGAUCAUGGCUCAGAACGAACGCUGGCGGCGUGCCUAACACAUGCAAGUCGAACGCGAACGUCUUCUUCGGAGGACAAGUAGAGUGGCGCACGGGUGAGUAACGCGUAAGUAAUCUGUCCUGGCAUCUGGGAUAACCUAUCGAAAGGUGAGCUAAUACCGGAUACGUCCUGGGGGAGAAAGACCGCCUCUGAUAUAAGCGGUUGUGCGAGGAGGAGCUUGCGUACCAUUAGCUGGUUGGUGGGGUAAUGGCCUACCAAGGCGACGAUGGUUAGCGGGUCUGAGAGGAUGAUCCGCCACACUGGAACUGAAACACGGACCAGACUCCUACGGGAGGCAGCAGUGAGGAAUAUUGCGCAAUGGGGGCAACCCUGACGCAGCGACGCCGCGUGGAUGAUGAAGGCCUUCGGGUUGUAAAAUCCUGUCAGAUGGGAAGAAGUGUACGAUGGUUAAGAGCUGUCGUAUUUGACGGUACCAUCAAAGGAAGCACCGGCUAACUCCGUGCCAGCAGCCGCGGUAAUACGGAGGGUGCGAGCGUUGUUCGGAUUUACUGGGCGUAAAGCGCGCGUAGGCGGUGUGAUCAGUCAGCUGUGAAAGCCCAUGGCUCAACCAUGGACGUGCAGUUGAAACUGUCAGACUUGAGUACUGGAGGGGGUGGUGGAAUUCCCGGUGUAGAGGUGAAAUUCGUAGAUAUCGGGAGGAAUACCGGUGGCGAAGGCGACCACCUGGCCAGAUACUGACGCUGAGGUGCGAAAGCGUGGGGGAGCAACAGGAUUAGAUACCCUGGUAGUCCACGCCGUAAACGAUGAGAACUAGGUGUUGGGAUGGAUCCCAUUUCAUUGCCGGAGCUAACGCAUUAAGUUUCUCGCCUGGGGAGUACGGUCG